This 468-nucleotide ribosomal RNA is filed under the name uncultured bacterium. Its description in RNAcentral is "partial 16S ribosomal RNA". It matches the Rfam family "Bacterial small subunit ribosomal RNA", at positions 28 to 507 of the family's 1533-position model. The record is from RNAcentral.
GACGAACGCUGGCGGCGUGCUUAACACAUGCAAGUCGAACGGAAAGGCCCUGCUUUUGUGGGGUGCUCGAGUGGCGAACGGGUGAGUAACACGUGAGUAACCUGCCCUUGACUUUGGGAUAACUUCAGGAAACUGGGGCUAAUACCGGAUAGGAGCUCCUGCUGCAUGGUGGGGGUUGGAAAGUUUCGGCGGUUGGGGAUGGACUCGCGGCUUAUCAGCUUGUUGGUGGGGUAGUGGCUUACCAAAGCUUUGACGGGUAGCCGGCCUGAGAGGGUGACCGGCCACAUUGGGACUGAGAUACGGCCCAGACUCCUACGGGAGGCAGCAGUGGGGAAUAUUGCACAAUGGGCGGAAGCCUGAUGCAGCAACGCCGCGUGCGGGAUGAUGGCCUUCGGGUUGUAAACCGCUUUCGCCUGUGACGAAGCGUGAGUGACGGUAAUGGGUAAAGAAGCACCGGCUAACUACGUG